RNAcentral lists this ribosomal RNA (253 nucleotides) under uncultured bacterium. RNAcentral's name for it is "partial 16S ribosomal RNA". It matches the Rfam family "Bacterial small subunit ribosomal RNA", at positions 524 to 776 of the family's 1533-position model. The record is from RNAcentral.
UACGUAGGGGGCAAGCGUUGUCCGGAUUUAUUGGGCGUAAAGAGCGUGUAGGCGGCCAAGCAGGUCCGCUGUGAAAACUCGAGGCUCAACCUCGAGACGUCGGUGGAAACCGUUUGGCUAGAGUCCGGAAGAGGAGAGUGGAAUUCCCGGUGUAGCGGUGAAAUACGCAGAUAUCGGGAAGAACACCCGUGGCGAAAGCGGCUCUCUGGGACGGUACUGACGCUGAGACGCGAAAGCGUGGGGAGCGAACAGG